UCAGAAAUGUUACUAUUUUUUUUCUUGUGAAGUUAACUUAAAAAAAAAAAAGUCCUUUAGAGUAGGAAAGUUGGGUGUUAGGAGUCAGAGAGAAAACUCCACAAGUUUCCAGAAAGAAUCUACUUUUUGUUGCAAAGUCAUCUUCUAAGUCCAAAGAUAGGUAAUGAACUCAAACUUCAUUUUAGGUUUAAACACUGCUCCAGGGACAUUUGCACUCAUGAAGGGGGAAAGGAAGAGGAUCCCCCAACCGAUGGAGAAAGAGAGUCCCUGAGUAGUGAAAGUUACUGUCAUGGGUACCAGUCGGGUACAGUUUCUGUUUGGAGCCUUCUUGGGAAGGGAUAGAACAUGUAAAAAACUGCUCUGCAGUCAAAUCCAUGGAAUCCAAAGAAUUUGCAUCCUGCAAAUCUCCUGCCGCCCAUGAAGCCCGUUCUGUUUGUCCCAAGCUGGCGACACUUUAAAGCUGAUCCCUGAGCUGAAAUGACCGGAUGGAGUGAGCAAAAAUCUUCCAGUAAAAGAAGACGCUGAUCAAAUGACACGUGUGAGCAGUCACAUAUUUUUGCAAAAGGGAGGCUUCAUAAAUCCAAGGAGACGAGGUGCUUUGACUACAAUGACCAUCCAAAAAAGAGGCGAAAGAGAGACCAGGAGACUACCGUGGGAACUUCACCUCCUAAGUAUGUCAAGCUUCACCUUGUGAGCAGCCCAUCUGCUUUCCUUCUAGGAACGUCAUUCGCUAUCAACAAUCUCCACACCUCCCUGCAG
Manis pentadactyla (Chinese pangolin) is the source of this 759-nucleotide long non-coding RNA. RefSeq lists it as uncharacterized. The record is from RefSeq and is a predicted model, not a curated record. The transcript has 5 exons. NCBI's taxonomy places the organism in Eukaryota, Metazoa, Chordata, Mammalia, Pholidota, Manidae.